UCAAAUCUUCCUUUUGUUAAAUCAUCUAAUCCUUACUUGAUACGAGCUGUCCUGUUUACUGACAGCUUCAUAUUGAAAUUCAGGAGGAAGACCACACUAGGCUAUUUUGGAGGACAAAGGAUGAAAAUUACUUAUACAAUGUAUUUCCAAUUACUUUUUCAGGUUUAUGCAAUAGUAAAAACAGAGUUUUUUAGUUAAUUUCAUUUUUUAAUUAAUUCAUUAAAAAUACUUAUUGAGUAUCAACUAUGUACCUGCUACUGAACUAAGUCUUAGGGGUUUAAGGACAUAGUUUGUGCAAACCUAUUACAUAGAGGGGGAAAAUAUACAUAGUUAUAUACACAGUUAUAUACAUAUAGGUACACACAUUUGUGUAUGUGUGUGUGUGUGUGUACACCUAUCUAUAUACAUACACACAAUUUAUCAUAACUGGCAAUGUUAUAGUGCACAAAGCAUUUUGGAUAUAUCAGGGGAGAGUUUGAGGAAAGAGAUUUACAGAGAACAGCUGAUAUUUGAAUUGGGUUUGUAAUUGUGAGAAGGACUUUGCUAUAACUGAGGCUGUUGUCAAAAUUCAAGGCUGGGAAGGAUCAUAGAUGUGCUGAGGGCCUUCAGAGUCCUCUAGAAGGAUAGUCACUCACUGAAGGCCUGAGGACACAUGCCUGGAUGAAUUGAAGGUGGUAGGCAUACCACAUAUUUGGGAUAAUAAGGGCAGGAUCUCAAUGUGCUUCUAUGGGAGAGACUAAAUGGCCUACAUAACAAGAAUAAAAAUAAGCUAUUGGAAGCAACAUAAGUGUCCAUUACUGGAUGAAUAGGCAAAGAAAAUGUGGUAGAUACAUACAAUGGAAUAUUAUGCAAUUUUUUUAAAAAAGAAAGAGAUUCUGACACAUGCUAUAACAUGGAUGAACCUUGAAGACACUAAGCUAGGUGAAAUGAGUCAGUCACAAUUGGACAAAUACUGUGUGAUUCCACAUAUGUGUGUGUCUAGAGUAUGCCAAUUCACAGAGAAGAUAGUAUAAGGUGGUUCCUAGGGACUGGGAGAAGGGAAAGUUUUUCAUUGAUCAGCACAGAGCUUUAGUUGAGGAAGAUGAAUAGGCUUGGGAGACAAAUGGUGGUGAUGGUUUCAGAGCGUGCAUAUAUUCAAUGCUUCCAAAC
This 1149-nucleotide long non-coding RNA is filed under the name Marmota monax (woodchuck). Lineage: Eukaryota; Metazoa; Chordata; Mammalia; Rodentia; Sciuridae. The record is from RNAcentral.